This 490-nucleotide ribosomal RNA is filed under the name uncultured bacterium. RNAcentral's name for it is "partial 16S ribosomal RNA". It matches the Rfam family "Bacterial small subunit ribosomal RNA", at positions 28 to 507 of the family's 1533-position model. The record is from RNAcentral.
GAUGAACGCUAGCUACAGGCUUAACACAUGCAAGUCGCGGGGCAGCAUGGGGGUUGCUUGCCAUCCCCGAUGGCGACCGGCGCACGGGUGAGUAACGCGUAUCCAACCUGCCCUUCACCACGGGAUAACCCGGCGAAAGUCGGACUAAUACCGUAUGUUGUCCAUUGACGGCAUCCGAUUUGGACGAAAGGCUUGGCGGUGAGGGAUGGGGAUGCGUCCGAUUAGCCAGACGGCGGGGUAACGGCCCACCGUGGCUACGAUCGGUAGGGGUUCUGAGAGGAAGGUCCCCCACACUGGAACUGAGACACGGUCCAGACUCCUACGGGAGGCAGCAGUGAGGAGUAUUGGUCAAUGGGCGUAAGCCUGAACCAGCCAAGUAGCGUGCAGGAUGACGGCCCUAUGGGUUGUAAACUGCUUUUAUGCGGGGAUAAAGUGGCCCACGUGUGGGCUUUUGCAGGUACCGCAUGAAUAAGGACCGGCUAAUUCCGUG